CAUCAUCUCCCUCCCAUCCUCCCAUCCUCUCAUCCUCCCUCCCUCCCUCCCUCCCUCCCUCCAUCUAUCCCGAUCCGUGCUGGACGAGGGGAGGAAAGUGGAAAGUCAGCCAUUCGCGCCCAGCUCCGGACUCGGUCCCUCGCAUCGCGGAUCUCUCCCGUCCCGUCUCCCGUCUCCCGUCUCACGUCCAGUCUCCCGUCCCGCCUGGCGGAGGUCCGCGCCGGACGCGGUUCGAACAGUGCAUUUACCCAAAGCCUCUUUGGCUUCAGAGGCGCUCAGUGAGGAUUUUAGCGGCUCUUCCCGUGGCCCUGUGCACCUCCACGAACGAAGGACCAACUGGGACUACAGCGUGAAACCUUCUAGCAGGUGGAAAACAAAGGACAUCCUCAUCCUCCACGUUCGGUGUCUGAACUUGAACAUUUGGAAGACAGGAGGGAAAAUAGCAGCUUGCUGAAACCCCGCGGGACAGGGGAAGAGUCAACUGACUCCUGCUCCCUCACUCAAGUUUGGAUCUACAUUUUGGCUCAUCCAGUCUUUUCUGGGGAAUAAAGUGUUGGAUAGACUAUGAGGAAAAACUGUGACUAUUCAGCACUGUAGCAAAACAGGAAAUUCUCAAACAUGGGGACUGCACCAGAUACCAUGUCUGUUCUGAAACUGUGAAACGGGAACUGCUCUUGAACCUUUUCCUUCAAACCUUCACUGUCAGGGACAAGCCAGUGACUCGCCUCUCUUACUGUCCUUCAAUCCCCACCACACUUUUUUUUCAUUUGGAAAGCAGCCCUUUACCCC
This is a long non-coding RNA of Denticeps clupeoides (denticle herring), 789 nucleotides long. The record is from Ensembl. NCBI's taxonomy places the organism in Eukaryota, Metazoa, Chordata, Actinopteri, Clupeiformes, Denticipitidae.